RNAcentral lists this ribosomal RNA (397 nucleotides) under uncultured bacterium. RNAcentral describes it as "partial 16S ribosomal RNA". It matches the Rfam family "Bacterial small subunit ribosomal RNA", at positions 523 to 918 of the family's 1533-position model. The record is from RNAcentral.
AUACGUAGGUGACAAGCGUUAUCCGGAUUUACUGGGCGUAAAGGGCGUGUAGGCGGUCUUGCAAGUCAGAAGUGAAAUUCCUGAGCUCAACUCGGGCGCUGCUUCUGAAACUGCAGGACUUGAGUGCUGGAGGGGCUAGCGGAAUUCCUAGGGGAGCGGUAAAAUGCGCAGAUAUUAGGAAGAACACCGGCGGCCAAGGCGGCUAUCUGGACAGUAACGGACGCGGAGGCGCGAAAGCGUGGGGAGCAGACAGGAUUUGAUCCCCUGGUAGUCCACGCCGUAAACGAUGAAUACUAGGUGUAGGGGGUAUCGACUCCCUCUGUGCCGCAGUUAACACAAUAAGUAUUCCGCCUGGGGAGUACGGCCGCAAGGUUGAAACUCAAAUGAAUUGACGGGG